RNAcentral lists this transfer RNA (83 nucleotides) under Bifidobacterium pseudolongum subsp. globosum. Its description in RNAcentral is "tRNA-Tyr". It matches the Rfam family "tRNA". Rfam says of the family: Transfer RNA (tRNA) molecules are approximately 80 nucleotides in length. Their secondary structure includes four short double-helical elements and three loops (D, anti-codon, and T loops). Lineage: Bacteria; Bacillati; Actinomycetota; Actinomycetes; Bifidobacteriales; Bifidobacteriaceae. The record is from RNAcentral.
GGUGGAUUGCCGCAGUAGUCGACCGGACCCGGCUGUAAACCGGGCGCCCCAUGGCCACGCAGGUGCGAAUCCUGCAUCCACCA